CAGCGCCACAAGUGGCAAUCAUGUUUAUUGGGCCUAAAGCGUCCGUAGCCGGUUUAGCAAAUCUUUUGUGAAAUCGUCAGGCUUAACUUGACGAAUUGCAGAAGACACUACUAAACUAGGGACUGGGAGGAGUCAGAAGUAUUCUGGGGGGACCGGUAAAAUGGUAUAAUCCCCAGAGGACUACCGAUGGCGAAGGCAUCUGACCAGAACAGAUCCGACGGUGAGGGACGAAAGCCAGGGGAGCAAACCGGAUUAGAUACCCGAGUAGUCC
Molecule: ribosomal RNA, 271 nt
Filed under: uncultured archaeon
Lineage: Archaea
Description: partial 16S ribosomal RNA
Rfam family: Archaeal small subunit ribosomal RNA
Source: RNAcentral